This 1342-nucleotide ribosomal RNA is filed under the name Pseudomonas aeruginosa. RNAcentral describes it as "partial 23S ribosomal RNA". It matches the Rfam family "Bacterial large subunit ribosomal RNA", at positions 415 to 1760 of the family's 2925-position model. Lineage: Bacteria; Pseudomonadati; Pseudomonadota; Gammaproteobacteria; Pseudomonadales; Pseudomonadaceae. The record is from RNAcentral.
GGACGGAGCACGAGAAACUUUGUCUGAACAUGGGGGGACCAUCCUCCAAGGCUAAAUACUACUGACUGACCGAUAGUGAACCAGUACCGUGAGGGAAAGGCGAAAAGAACCCCGGAGAGGGGAGUGAAAUAGAACCUGAAACCGUAUGCGUACAAGCAGUGGGAGCCUACUUGUUAGGUGACUGCGUACCUUUUGUAUAAUGGGUCAGCGACUUAUAUUCAGUGGCAAGCUUAACCGUAUAGGGUAGGCGUAGCGAAAGCGAGUCUUAAUAGGGCGUUUAGUCGCUGGGUAUAGACCCGAAACCGGGCGAUCUAUCCAUGAGCAGGUUGAAGGUUAGGUAACACUGACUGGAGGACCGAACCCACUCCCGUUGAAAAGGUAGGGGAUGACUUGUGGAUCGGAGUGAAAGGCUAAUCAAGCUCGGAGAUAGCUGGUUCUCCUCGAAAGCUAUUUAGGUAGCGCCUCAUGUAUCACUCUGGGGGGUAGAGCACUGUUUCGGCUAGGGGGUCAUCCCGACUUACCAAACCGAUGCAAACUCCGAAUACCCAGAAGUGCCGAGCAUGGGAGACACACGGCGGGUGCUAACGUCCGUCGUGAAAAGGGAAACAACCCAGACCGCCAGCUAAGGUCCCAAAGUUGUGGUUAAGUGGUAAACGAUGUGGGAAGGCUUAGACAGCUAGGAGGUUGGCUUAGAAGCAGCCAUCCUUUAAAGAAAGCGUAAUAGCUCACUAGUCGAGUCGGCCUGCGCGGAAGAUGUAACGGGGCUCAAACCACACACCGAAGCUGCGGGUGUCACGUAAGUGACGCGGUAGAGGAGCGUUCUGUAAGCCUGUGAAGGUGAGUUGAGAAGCUUGCUGGAGGUAUCAGAAGUGCGAAUGCUGACAUGAGUAACGACAAUGGGUGUGAAAAACACCCACGCCGAAAGACCAAGGGUUCCUGCGCAACGUUAAUCGACGCAGGGUUAGUCGGUUCCUAAGGCGAGGCUGAAAAGCGUAGUCGAUGGGAAACAGGUUAAUAUUCCUGUACUUCUGGUUACUGCGAUGGAGGGACGGAGAAGGCUAGGCCAGCUUGGCGUUGGUUGUCCAAGUUUAAGGUGGUAGGCUGAAAUCUUAGGUAAAUCCGGGGUUUCAAGGCCGAGAGCUGAUGACGAGUCGUCUUUUAGAUGACGAAGUGGUUGAUGCCAUGCUUCCAAGAAAAGCUUCUAAGCUUCAGGUAACCAGGAACCGUACCCCAAACCGACACAGGUGGUCGGGUAGAGAAUACCAAGGCGCUUGAGAGAACUCGGGUGAAGGAACUAGGCAAAAUGGCACCGUAACUUCGGGAGAAGGUGCGCCGGCUAGGG